GACGAACGCUGGCGGCGCGCCUAACACAUGCAAGUCGAACGGAGCUUGCCUGUCUGAUCCUUUCGGGGUGACGACUUGUAAGCUUAGUGGCGAACGGGUGAGUAACACGUGAGUAACCUGCCCCAGAGUGGGGGACAACAGUUGGAAACGACUGCUAAUACCGCAUAAGCCCACAGAACCGCAUGGUUCUGGGGGAAAAGGAGCAAUUCGCUUUGGGAUGGACUCGCGUCCGAUUAGCUGGUUGGUGAGGUAACGGCCCACCAAGGCAACGAUCGGUAGCCGGACUGAGAGGUUGAACGGCCACAUUGGGACUGAGACACGGCCCAG
Molecule: ribosomal RNA, 327 nt
Filed under: uncultured bacterium
Lineage: Bacteria
Description: bacterial SSU rRNA
Rfam family: Bacterial small subunit ribosomal RNA
Source: RNAcentral